AUCCAGAUGACGAGUCCCAAGUAGGAGGAAACGCGCAUCUUGGAU
Trichobilharzia regenti is the source of this 45-nucleotide non-coding RNA. The record is from Rfam. Lineage: Eukaryota; Metazoa; Platyhelminthes; Trematoda; Strigeidida; Schistosomatidae.